UACGUAGGGUGCAAGCGUUGUCCGGAAUUAUUGGGCGUAAAGAGCUCGUAGGCGGUGUGUCACGUCGUUCGUGAAAACCUGCAGCUUAACUGUGGGCGUGCGGUCGAUACGGGCAUCACUGGAGUUCGGCAGGGGAGACUGGAAUUCCUGGUGUAGCGGUGAAAUGCGCAGAUAUCAGGAGGAACACCGGUGGCGAAGGCGGGUCUCUGGGCCGAUACUGACGCUGAGGAGCGAAAGCGUGGGGAGCAAACAGG
Molecule: ribosomal RNA, 254 nt
Filed under: uncultured bacterium
Lineage: Bacteria
Description: partial 16S ribosomal RNA
Rfam family: Bacterial small subunit ribosomal RNA
Source: RNAcentral